RNAcentral lists this ribosomal RNA (289 nucleotides) under Staphylococcus aureus. RNAcentral describes it as "partial 16S ribosomal RNA". It matches the Rfam family "Bacterial small subunit ribosomal RNA", at positions 92 to 375 of the family's 1533-position model. The record is from RNAcentral. Lineage: Bacteria; Bacillati; Bacillota; Bacilli; Caryophanales; Staphylococcaceae.
UUAGCGGCGGACGGGUGAGUAACACGUGGAUAACCUACCUAUAAGACUGGGAUAACUUCGGGAAACCGGAGCUAAUACCGGAUAAUAUUUUGAACCGCAUGGUUCAAAAGUGAAAGACGGUCUUGCUGUCACUUAUAGAUGGAUCCGCGCUGCAUUAGCUAGUUGGUAAGGUAACGGCUUACCAAGGCAACGAUGCAUAGCCGACCUGAGAGGGUGAUCGGCCACACUGGAACUGAGACACGGUCCAGACUCCUACGGGAGGCAGCAGUAGGGAAUCUUCCGCAAUGGG